UUCUUUUGUAUAUUACUAAUUCAUUUAAUAGUUAGUUUAAUAAAAAACAUAGUAUAUGUUUAUAUGAACCAACUUGUUUUUUAAGAAUUCUAAGAAUCAUCUUCGUGAUGACACGUGGCUACGAAAACAUGUUGUAAUACUUCAGGAUUAAUAUAUAGGGGAUUGUGUUUUGGGAUAAUGGUAUGGUAGCUUUGUGCCUUAGCCAACUCCUUCAGAUCCGAAUCAGUUUUUCGAAAUUCUGAUUUAGAAAAUAACACUCUUUACCGAACAAAAAUUGAACUCAGAACAUAAAAAUACCAAACCAGUGACAAUUGUUGAGAACAGAUUUAU
RNAcentral lists this long non-coding RNA (330 nucleotides) under Brassica napus (rape). Its description in RNAcentral is "long non-coding RNA (BNAP_LNC008905)". Lineage: Eukaryota; Viridiplantae; Streptophyta; Magnoliopsida; Brassicales; Brassicaceae. The record is from RNAcentral.